UGGAGGCAGCAGUGGGGAAUUUUGGACAAUGGGGGAAACCCUGAUCCAGCCAUGCCGCGUGCAGGAUGAAGGCCUUCGGGUUGUAAACUGCUUUUGUACAGAACGAAAAGGUCUCGGUUAAUACCUGGGGCCCAUGACGGUACUGUAAGAAUAAGCACCGGCUAACUACGUGCCAGCAGCCGCGGUAAUACGUAGGGUGCAAGCGUUAAUCGGAAUUACUGGGCGUAAAGCGUGCGCAGGCGGUUAUGUAAGACAGAUGUGAAAUCCCCGGGCUCAACCUGGGAACUGCAUUUGUGACUGCAUAGCUUGAGUGCGGCAGAGGGGGAUGGAAUUCCGCGUGUAGCAGUGAAAUGCGUAGAUAUGCGGGGGAACACCGAUGGCGAAGGCAAUCCCCUGGGCCUGCACUGACGCUCAUGCACGAAAGCGUGGGGAGCAAACAGGAUUAGAAACCCUUGUAGUCCU
RNAcentral lists this ribosomal RNA (462 nucleotides) under uncultured bacterium. RNAcentral's name for it is "bacterial SSU rRNA". It matches the Rfam family "Bacterial small subunit ribosomal RNA", at positions 343 to 797 of the family's 1533-position model. The record is from RNAcentral.